CCUUGUGGUUGCAUAACUGGGCUGGAACCACCCCUUCCCAUUCCGAACAGGCAGGUGAAACGGCCCAGUGCCGAUGGUAGUGCCUUCGGGCGCGAGAGUAGGUACUGCAAGGG
Molecule: ribosomal RNA, 113 nt
Filed under: bacterium
Lineage: Bacteria
Source: RNAcentral